This 351-nucleotide ribosomal RNA is filed under the name uncultured bacterium. Its description in RNAcentral is "partial 16S ribosomal RNA". It matches the Rfam family "Bacterial small subunit ribosomal RNA", at positions 384 to 725 of the family's 1533-position model. The record is from RNAcentral.
UGAUCCAGCAAUGCCGCGUGUGUGAAGAAGGCCUKAGGGUUGUAAAGCYCUUUCAGUGGGGAGGAGGGUUGAGWGGUUAAUAGCUUWUUUARURGACGUUACCCACAGAAGAAGCACCGGCUAACUCCGUGCCAGCAGCCGCGGUAAUACGGAGGGUGCGAGCGUUAWUCGGAAUUACUGGGCGUAAAGSGYGCGCAGGUGGUUUGWUAAGUUAUMUGURAAAKCCCUGGGCUCAACCUGGGAAGGCCAUAUAAAACUGUYAGACUUGAGUAUGGGAGAGGGUAGUGGAAUUUCCCGGUGUAAGCGGUGAAAUGCGUAGAGAUCGGAAGGAACACCAGUGGCGAAGGCGGC